RNAcentral lists this unclassified non-coding RNA (1549 nucleotides) under Dimorphilus gyrociliatus. Its description in RNAcentral is "sCP domain-containing protein". The record is from RNAcentral. Lineage: Eukaryota; Metazoa; Annelida; Polychaeta; Dinophilidae.
AUCUUUAUUUAGAAAUAUUUGAAAUAUACAGGCCUCAUUCUACUGGUCAUUUCCUACGUCAAUCGAUUGCAGGUGUCAUUCGAUUUUCUAUAGAUUUACAGGUUAGUUUCUUGUAACGGUAUAUAUAAAUUUAUACACGUUAGUAUUUUACUUGUAUAGUUUAAUAUAUAUUAAGAGUAUAGUACUAUAUAAUGGUAUAAGUUGACUUUUUGUGCAUUUUAUAUUAAUAAAGGUCGAGAGUAACAUUAACGGAAACUUUUUUAAGAUAUGUAUAUAAAUAUUCUACUAUGUAAAGAGAGUAAAGGUAUUCUCUUUGUUUGUCCUUGAUCAUACUAAUGUUAUUAUUAUAUUAUUAUAGUAUUGUAGAUUCCUUAUUCAUUUUGACUCCCCCAUACCCUUCAGCCCCCUCUUUUUAUUCUGUUUACAAUUUACCUUAUAUAAAGCCAAUUCUCGUUUUUGUACCCGAAAAUACAACUUCUUUUUGAAAGAUUCAAGUAAAAAUAGAUAUUUUUACCCUUUCUUAUUCAUCUACUAUACAGUAAUAUAGGACAAUUAGACACAUGUAUAUAUAAUUUGAACUUGAAUCAAUUUGUGGUUAACCAAGUAAGGAUAUUUAUAAUCGUUAAUAAUUACUUAAUUCUGUACUGUGUUAACCUCUAGUUAAGGCGGAUGUGUGUGCAUUGGAAAUGAUUUGUUAUGAAGAGAGAGAAUAGAUGGUUUCUGUAUUUUAUAUUAUAUAUUUUAUAUAAGCGUAUGCCAUGUAUUUCAUAUGACUAGUUUAAGCUAUAUAAAUAAAUACCUUAUAGACAUAUAUAUAUAUAUAUAUAUAUAUAUAUUGAUAACAGUACGAAAGUACGAUAUUUUAACUGCUAUUUAGGCGAGUUUAUGCUUUAACGGCUACUAUUUAAUGAUUUUUUUAUAGGAUAUUUAAAUGAACAGAUUUUGCAACCAUCCAGUUCGUAAUCCAUAUGUUAAACAUAUGUCCAACCUAUAUAUAAUUAAUUAUAAACCUUUUUUUCCUCCAGUAUAGAACAUGGCUGAUAAAGAGUUUAUUGAUAGCGCCUUAAAGGCUCAUAACGACUACAGGAAGAAGCACUCUGCACCUCCUCUUAAACACAACAAAGAAAUCUCGGCAAUCGCUCAGAAAUGGGCAAACGAAUUGGCUAAAAAGGAUGCUUUUCAACACAGUCAAGAUAGGGAGUACAAGGGUGGCAAGAUGGGAGAGAAUAUUGCCAUGAAGUGGACAUCAUCUGGCGAUGAUUAUACAGGACCCGAGCCAGUUAGUCAAUGGUACGAUGAGGUUGAACGCUAUAAUUAUAGUACAGGCUCCGGACCAAGUACUGGCCACUUUACACAAGUUGUAUGGGUAGGUAGUAAAGAAGUUGGUUUUGGAAAGGCAAAGAGUUCGAGCGGAAAAUGGUUGGUUGUAGCCAAUUAUUAUCCAGCUGGAAAUUUUAUUGGACAAUAUAAGGAGAACGUUCUGAAACCAGGUACAAGAUCAUCUAGUAAAAAAGCUGGUAAAUCGAAAAAAGACUGCACAAUUAUUUAA